UCGGAUGUGGUGCACGGUGCACAUCAGCUUAAUAUAUUGUAAGGAGAAAGUCGAAGGCCGGGGUUCGACUCCCCGCAUCCGAA
Non-coding RNA from Mycena rebaudengoi, 83 nucleotides. Lineage: Eukaryota; Fungi; Basidiomycota; Agaricomycetes; Agaricales; Mycenaceae. The record is from the annotation of a GenBank genome assembly.